Molecule: non-coding RNA, 54 nt
Filed under: Pseudomonas rhizosphaerae
Lineage: Bacteria; Pseudomonadati; Pseudomonadota; Gammaproteobacteria; Pseudomonadales; Pseudomonadaceae
Source: RNAcentral
CUAACCUCCUCACCGUCGCUGCAAAUUCAGCGACCGGGUUUAGCAGCUCGAACA